UACGGAGGGUGCAAGCGUUAAUCGGAAUUACUGGGCGUAAAGCGUGCGCAGGCGGCUAUGCAAGUCAGAUGUGAAAUCCCCGGGCUCAACCUGGGAACUGCAUUUGUGACUGCAUGGCUAGAGUACGGCAGAGGGGGAUGGAAUUCCGCGUGUAGCAGUGAAAUGCGUAGAUAUGCGGAGGAACACCGAUGGCGAAGGCAAUCCCCUGGGCCUGUACUGACGCUCAUGCACGAAAGCGUGGGGAGCAAACAGG
RNAcentral lists this ribosomal RNA (253 nucleotides) under uncultured bacterium. Its description in RNAcentral is "partial 16S ribosomal RNA". It matches the Rfam family "Bacterial small subunit ribosomal RNA", at positions 524 to 776 of the family's 1533-position model. The record is from RNAcentral.